AGCGAACGCUGGCGGCAGGCCUAACACAUGCAAGUCGAACGAUCCUUCGGGAUAGUGGCGGACGGGUGAGUAACACGUGGGAACGUGCCCUUUGGUUCGGAAUAACUCAGGGAAACUUGAGCUAAUACCGGAUGUGCCCUUCGGGGGAAAGAUUUAUCGCCAUUGGAGCGGCCCGCGUUGGAUUAGCUAGUUGGUGGGGUAAAGGCCCACCAAGGCUACGAUCCGUAGCUGGUCUGAGAGGAUGAUCAGCCACACUGGGACUGAGACACGGCCCAGACUCCUACGGGAGGCAGCAGUGGGGAAUCUUGCGCAAUGGGCGAAAGCCUGACGCAGCCAUGCCGCGUGAAUGAUGAAGGUCUUAGGAUUGUAAAAUUCUUUCACCGGGGACGAUAAUGACGGUACCCGGAGAAGAAGCCUCGGCUAACUUCGUGCCAGCCGCCGCCGUAA
Molecule: ribosomal RNA, 447 nt
Filed under: uncultured bacterium
Lineage: Bacteria
Description: partial 16S ribosomal RNA
Rfam family: Bacterial small subunit ribosomal RNA
Source: RNAcentral